UUCCCAUCACUUCCCCCUCAA
This is a non-coding RNA of Caenorhabditis elegans, 21 nucleotides long. The record is from Ensembl. NCBI's taxonomy places the organism in Eukaryota, Metazoa, Nematoda, Chromadorea, Rhabditida, Rhabditidae.